GCCACACAUCUGAAAAAACAAAAACAAAAAACGGGCUUACUGAUAACCAUGUAGCUAGCGACCAUGCUAUCCGUAAUAAUAAUAGUUUUAUUUAUUGAGCGCCAUUCGGGAAGCACGCGGUGAUGACGCCAGCAAGGCUUCCCCCGCGCCAGCGAGAUCACACAAGAACCAAGACCAAUUCCUGUUGUUCGCUUGGAUAAGAACGGAAGAAACAGAGGACUCGGUCCUCUUCACGGAAGAGUGCUGUUGCUGCAUGCUGCCCAUGCAUGCACGCCAUUAAUUCGUGGCUUCUGCCUUAUAUUUAUUCUUCCCAUGGGCAUGGCCUCCAGAGAGAGACAAAACGCGAUCUGAAAAAUCCACAUCAAUCUCCAGCUGCUGGCCGUAGGCGGUAUAGCAUACAGUCCAGACAGUCAGAUAGAGAGGCACCUCAUCAGUCGUGCAUUAUUGCCCUCUUGUACGUACACGGCAGUUUUAAAUUGAAAAAAUAUGGCCGAGAACGAGGGUAGGUUCCGCUGGGAUUCGAAUCUGGACACUUUUUUUUGCAGGAGCUGCGUUCAAUUGCUUGACGACGGGCUAAUAACCCAGAGGCAGCCCUCCUUACAUGACGAGGCUCUGGAAUACUUGUCGCAAAAAUUUUCUACGGUGAAUUCAACAGUUUCAAAAAAGACUCUGAUGAACAAAUGGAACUGUAUGAAACAGCUGUAUGACAGUUAUGUUCUGUUUCGUAUCCACUCGUCAAAUAUGGGAGAGUUGAAAAGCCGCAGGAUGUACAUAAAAAAGACAAAGAAAUGUGCGAACGUAUUUAAGCAUAUGAUAAAUGAACCACCUAAGAAUUUGGAUCUACUUAAAAGAUUGUUCCACGACGAAGAUCAAGGGACACCGCCAUCAUCCCCGCCACACCCAUCGUUCGAGCCACAGUCAUCGUUCAUGCCAGAGUCGUCGUCCCCGCCACAGUCGUCAUCAUUCAUGCCAGGGUCGUCGUCCCCGCCACAGUCGUCAGUGUCAUCCUCGUAACUUUCCUUUAUUUUAUGGAUAGGGUAUGCAUGUAUAUCCUACCACAUUUAGGGACGAAUGUUGAUACCCGAAUUGUUAGGACAAGUUUAAUAAUAUUUUUAAAUUAUAUAUAUGUAUGAAAUUUGAUGUCAAUCUUUUAUCAAGCACAUUAUUACAGAUAAGAAAAGAAUUUGCAUAAAUUGUUUUAUGCAUUGUUUCCUCCUUGCAACAAAAGCGGAGGGGGCAAUGUAUAGGUGAUCCUCCACCACUCGCUUCACCAGGCGUAGUAAUUCUGUGUGCGCAUAUGAUAUGAAACAGGGAAAUUCUAAAGUUUGCAAGACUGACAAUUGCCCUCGUACUUGUAAAAUACUUUUUUCGGUGGUUUCACCUGAAUUAAUUAUUUCGUAAUAAACCAAUAAAAGAUAUGAGCUGCAUAGAGAAGAAACUUGUAAAGGAACAGAAUUGUUCGAUUAUGCUUACCUAUACUAGCACUA
Zea mays is the source of this 1487-nucleotide long non-coding RNA. RefSeq lists it as uncharacterized. The transcript has 3 exons. Lineage: Eukaryota; Viridiplantae; Streptophyta; Magnoliopsida; Poales; Poaceae. The record is from RefSeq and is a predicted model, not a curated record.